CAAAAGGAUUUUACUGCUUGCGGG
RNAcentral lists this non-coding RNA (24 nucleotides) under Arabidopsis thaliana (thale cress). Lineage: Eukaryota; Viridiplantae; Streptophyta; Magnoliopsida; Brassicales; Brassicaceae. The record is from RNAcentral.